Molecule: ribosomal RNA, 511 nt
Filed under: uncultured soil bacterium
Lineage: Bacteria
Description: bacterial SSU rRNA
Rfam family: Bacterial small subunit ribosomal RNA
Source: RNAcentral
UAACACUGGCGGCGUGUCUACACAUGCAAGUCGAACGAGGCGGAGCGGGGCAACUCGCUCCAGUCGAGUGGCGGACGGGUGAGUAACACGUGGGUAACCUGCCCGGAAGUGGGGAAUACCUCGGGGAAACUCGAGCUAAUACCGCAUGACAUCUUCGGAACGGAAGUUCUGACGAUCAAAGCGGGGUCGCAAGAUCUCGCGCUACCGGAUGGGCCCGCGCCCGAUUAGCUAGUUGGCGAGGUAACGGCUCACCAAGGCUUCGAUCGGUAACCGGCCUGAGAGGGCGAUCGGUCACACCGGAACUGAGACACGGUCCGGACUCCUACGGGAGGCAGCAGUGGGGAAUCUUGCGCAAUGGGCGAAAGCCUGACGCAGCAACGCCGCGUGGAGGAUGAAGGCCUUUGGGUUGUAAACUCCUGUCGGCUGGGAAGAAAUCGUACGGUGCUCAUACCACCGUGCGUUGACUGUACUAGCAAAGGAAGCCCCGGCUAACUCUGUGCCAGCAGCCGCG